GACGAACGCUGGCGGCGUGCUUAACACAUGCAAGUCGAACGGUAAGGCCCUUCGGGGUACACGAGUGGCGAACGGGUGAGUAACACGUGGGUGAUCUGCUCUGCACUUCGGGUUAAGCCUGGGAAACUGGGUCUAAUACCGGAUAGGACCACUGCCUGCAUGGGUGGUGGUGGAAAGCUUUUGCGGUGUGGGAUGGGCCCGCGGCCUAUCAGCUUGUUGGUGGGUGAUGGCCUACCAAGGCGACGACGGGUAGCCGGCCUGAGAGGGUGACCGGGCAGACGGGGACUGAGAUACGGGCCAGAGUCCUACGGGAGGCAGCAGUGGGGAAUAUUGCACAAUGGGCGCAAGCCUGAUGCAGCGACGCCGCGUGAGGGAUGACGGCCUUCGGGUUGUAAACAUCUUUCAGCACCGACGAAGCGCAAGUGACGGUAGGUGCAGAAGAAGGACCGGCCAACUACGUGCCAGCAGCCGCAGUAA
Molecule: ribosomal RNA, 477 nt
Filed under: uncultured bacterium
Lineage: Bacteria
Description: partial 16S ribosomal RNA
Rfam family: Bacterial small subunit ribosomal RNA
Source: RNAcentral